Molecule: ribosomal RNA, 324 nt
Filed under: Triticum aestivum (bread wheat)
Lineage: Eukaryota; Viridiplantae; Streptophyta; Magnoliopsida; Poales; Poaceae
Description: partial small subunit ribosomal RNA
Source: RNAcentral
AUGGAGAAAGCACGUCGAGCCAUGUUCGUCUUGUUACUGCUGAUCGCCGAUUUUAGUGCGGCCCAAGACACCACCAGCAAAGCAGGCGAAUUCCACGUCGGGGUGAUCCUCGACCUGGGAUCGCUGGUGGGGAAAGUGGCGCGGACCAGCGUGCUGUUGGCCGCCCAGGAUUUCUACACGAUCCACCGGAACUACAGCACGAAGCUCGUUCUCCACGUUAUGGACUCCGCGGGCAGUGAUGUUCAGGCCGCAUCGGCAGGUACGUGUGUCUGCAGUAUGUCACUCUGUGAGGAUUCAGGGAAAACCGAGGACUUUGUUUGUUAG